RNAcentral lists this long non-coding RNA (336 nucleotides) under Mytilus galloprovincialis (Mediterranean mussel). Lineage: Eukaryota; Metazoa; Mollusca; Bivalvia; Mytilida; Mytilidae. The record is from RNAcentral.
ACUUCUAGUAUUGUUUUACUGUGAAUUCUUUUCGUUGUUGUGAUUGGCGUUCUAAUUCUUCUCACAUACAAGCUUGUCUAUAGUCUGAGGAUUUCUGUUAUUUUUGCUACCAAUUUUUUUCCAUAUCCCAUGUUAGGAUCAAUCUAAAAGGUUGAAAAUUUCAUAUCUGAAUAUUUUUUUCGUUAUCUGGAAAGUUACUUUUGACGGCGGAUCUUGAUUGUUUCUGUGGGGCUUCUUUCUCAUGGAUAGGGAUCACUCACGGGGAAAAAAUGGAAAAUUGUCGAAACUAAUUUGACUUUUAUGUAUACUAGCAUAAAAUCGAGAAUGGAAAUGGGG